Molecule: ribosomal RNA, 253 nt
Filed under: uncultured bacterium
Lineage: Bacteria
Description: partial 16S ribosomal RNA
Rfam family: Bacterial small subunit ribosomal RNA
Source: RNAcentral
UACGAGGGGGGCAAGCGUUGUUCGGAUUUAUUGGGCGUAAAGGGUGCGUAGGCGGUUCGUUAAGUCGGAUGUGAAAGCCCUCGGCUCAACUGAGGAAGUGCACCCGAAACUGGCGAGCUUGAGUACGAAAGAGGAUCGCGGAAUUCCCGGUGUAGAGGUGAAAUUCGUAGAUAUCGGGAGGAACACCGGUGGCGAAGGCGGCGAUCUGGGUCGAUACUGACGCUGAGGUGCGAAAGCGUGGGGAGCAAACAGG